UGGCCUUGACAUUGAUAGAAUAACUCAGAGACGAGUUAGUGCCCUUCGGGGAGCUUGAAAACAGGUGCUGCACGGCUGUCGUCAGCUCGUGUCGUGAGAUGUUGGGUUAAGUCCCGCAACGAGCGCAACCCUCGUCCUUAGUUGCCAGCAGUUCGGCUGGGCACUCUAAGGAGACUGCCUUCGUAAGGAGGAGGAAGGUGAGGACGACGUCAAGUCAUCAUGGCCCUUACGGCCAGGGCUACACACGUGCUACAAUGGGGCGUACAGAGAGCUGCGAUACCGCGAGGUGGAGCUAAUCUCUUAAAGCGUCUCUCAGUUCGGAUUGUUCUCUGCAACUCGAGAGCAUGAAGC
This 351-nucleotide ribosomal RNA is filed under the name uncultured bacterium. RNAcentral describes it as "bacterial SSU rRNA". It matches the Rfam family "Bacterial small subunit ribosomal RNA", at positions 976 to 1326 of the family's 1533-position model. The record is from RNAcentral.